AACAGCACUAAUGUUCAGGUCAAAGUGAACCCUUUUAAGCACACAUGCCAGGAAUCAACCCUUAGGAAGGAUACAAUCAGUAGAGCCAAGUUAAGAUGGGUGGCAGAAGAAGUAAAGAAGUGGGUGAAAGAAAACCAGCAAGUGGGUCCAAAGGAAUUGCAGAAGAACAUCAAAGAUAAAUUCAAGAUAGAUUUACCAUACAUGAGGUUGUUCAAUGGUAAACAACAUGCUAUGGAUUCUAUUUAUGGUAACUGGCAGGAAAGUUUUCAAUUGUUGUAUUCAUUCAAAGGUGAAGUGGAGAGGACAAGCCCAGGUAGUAUUGUAGAUAUUGAUCACCACACCGUGGAGUACACAUUCAGGGGAGUGACAAAGACCAAGGAAUGCUUUAGGAGGGUUUUUGUCUGCUUUGAGGCUUGUCGCCGGGGUUUUUUGGCAGGUUGCAGGCCUUAUUUGGCUAUUGAUGCCACUUUUCUCACAGGGAGGUUUAAAGGACAGUUAGUAGUUGCUUGUGCAGUUGAUGCACACAGUUUUGUAUUUCCAGUUGCCUAUGGUGUGCUGGAGACAGAGUCUGAGGAGAGCUGGACUUGGUUUUUGCAUAAUCUGCGCCGGGCUAUUGCACAUCCCAAUGGGUUGGUCAUUUAUACAGAUGCCUGCAAAGGUUUAGAAGUGGCCGUGGACAAUGUGUUCCCUGGAGUAGAGCAUAGGGAAUGCAUGCGUCACCUUGCUGCAAAUUUCAUGAAGAAAUUCAAAGGAAAGGUGUAUACCGACAAUUUAUGGCCGGCAUUUUUGACUUGCAGUGUGAAGAAGCACAACUACCACUUGAGGCAGUUAUACAUGAAUCCCAAAGUGAAAGAAUACUUGGAAACACACCACUCCAAGUUAUGGGCCAGAAGCCAAUUCAGUGAACUGAGCAAAGUCGACUAUGUGCACAAUAAUCUAGCAGAGUCUUUCAACUCAACGAUCCGGAAA
This 969-nucleotide ribosomal RNA is filed under the name Triticum aestivum (bread wheat). RNAcentral describes it as "partial small subunit ribosomal RNA". The record is from RNAcentral. Lineage: Eukaryota; Viridiplantae; Streptophyta; Magnoliopsida; Poales; Poaceae.